UGGUCCUGACACUAGAAGGAUUGACAGAUUGAUAGCUCUUUCUUGAUUUGGUGGAUGGUGGUGCAUGGCCGUUCUUAGUUGGUGGAGUGAUUUGUCUGGUUAAUUCCGAUAACGAACGAGACUCUAGCCUAUUAAAUAACACACAGAAUCAUGUCUUCUGCGGUGUUUCUUAAUGGGAUCAAGUGUGUUUAACACUUUGAAACAGAGCAAUAACAGGUCUGUGAUGCCCUUAGAUGUUCGGGGCCGCACGCGCGCUACAUUGAAAGACAAAAUGAGCGUUUCUGGUUUUUAACAAAACUAGUAAUCUUUGAAUGUUUUUCUUAAUGGGGAUAGGGGAUUGCAAUUGUGCCCCUUGAACGAGGAAUUCCCAGUAAGUGCUAGUCAUUAGCUAGU
This 393-nucleotide ribosomal RNA is filed under the name Macrocheles subbadius. Its description in RNAcentral is "bacterial SSU rRNA". It matches the Rfam family "Eukaryotic small subunit ribosomal RNA", at positions 1220 to 1639 of the family's 1831-position model. The record is from RNAcentral. Lineage: Eukaryota; Metazoa; Arthropoda; Arachnida; Mesostigmata; Macrochelidae.